UACGUAGGUGGCGAGCGUUGUCCGGAUUUACUGGGCGUAGAGGGAGCGUAGGCGGAUUUUUAAGUGAGAUGUGAAAUACUCGGGCUCAACUUGAGUGCUGCAUUUCAAACUGGAAGUCUAGAGUGCAGGAGAGGAGAAUGGAAUUCCUAGUGUAGCGGUGAAAUGCGUAGAGAUUAGGAAGAACACCAGUGGCGAAGGCGAUUCUCUGGACUGUAACUGACGCUGAGGCUCGAAAGCGUGGGGAGCAAACAGG
RNAcentral lists this ribosomal RNA (253 nucleotides) under uncultured bacterium. RNAcentral's name for it is "partial 16S ribosomal RNA". It matches the Rfam family "Bacterial small subunit ribosomal RNA", at positions 524 to 776 of the family's 1533-position model. The record is from RNAcentral.